This 105-nucleotide small RNA is filed under the name Escherichia coli. Its description in RNAcentral is "STnc490k". The stretch from base 28 to 105 matches the Rfam family "STnc490 Hfq binding RNA", at positions 47 to 124 of the family's 124-position model. Lineage: Bacteria; Pseudomonadati; Pseudomonadota; Gammaproteobacteria; Enterobacterales; Enterobacteriaceae. The record is from RNAcentral.
ACUAAAUCAGUAAGUUGGCACCAUUACCAGUUAUUAAAACCCCUUUUGAUUUGUUAAAACACCUUGCGGUCUGGCAACUGCAAGUGUCAAACAAGAAAUCAAAAG